RNAcentral lists this ribosomal RNA (688 nucleotides) under uncultured bacterium. RNAcentral's name for it is "bacterial SSU rRNA". It matches the Rfam family "Bacterial small subunit ribosomal RNA", at positions 97 to 796 of the family's 1533-position model. The record is from RNAcentral.
GGCGAACGGGUGAGUAACACGUGAGCAACCUGCCCUUGACUCUGGGAUAACAGUUGGAAACAGCUGCUAAUACCGGAUACGACCUUCGAUGACAUCAUCUGGAGGUGGAAAGCGCUUUAGCGGUCAAGGAUGGGCUCGCGGCCUAUCAGCUAGUUGGUGAGGUAACGGCUCACCAAGGCUUCGACGGGUAGCCGGCCUGAGAGGGCGACCGGCCACACUGGGACUGAGAUACGGCCCAGACUCCUACGGGAGGCAGCAGUGGGGAAUAUUGCACAAUGGGCGCAAGCCUGAUGCAGCAACGCCGCGUGCGGGAUGACGGCCUUCGGGUUGUAAACCGCUUUCAGUUCCGACGAAGCGCAAGUGACGGUAGGAACAGAAGAAGGACCGGCCAACUACGUGCCAGCAGCCGCGGUGAUACGUAGGGUCCGAGCGUUGUCCGGAAUUAUUGGGCGUAAAGGGCUUGUAGGCGGUUUGUCACGUCGGAAGUGAAAACUCAGGGCUUAACCCUGAGCCUGCUUCCGAUACGGGCAAACUAGAGGAAUGCAGGGGAGAAUGGAAUUCCUGGUGGAGCGGUGGAAUGCGCAGAUAUCAGGAGGAACACCGGUGGCGAAGGCGGUUCUCUGGGCAUUUCCUGACGCUGAGAAGCGAAAGCGUGGGGAGCAAACAGGCUUAGAUACCCUGGUAGUCC